AGAGUUUGAUCAUGGCUCAGAUUGAACGCUGGCGGCAUGCUUUACACAUGCAAGUCGAACGGCAGCACGGGGGCAACCCUGGUGGCGAGUGGCGAACGGGUGAGUAAUACAUCGGAACGUGUCUUCAAGUGGGGGAUAACGCAGCGAAAGCUGUGCUAAUACCGCAUAAUCUCUGAGGAGAAAAGCAGGGGAUUCGCAAGACCUUGCGCUUUUGGAGCGGCCGAUGUCUGAUUAGCUAGUUGGUGAGGUAAAGGCUCACCAAGGCAUCGAUCAGUAGCUGGUCUGAGAGGACGACCAGCCACACUGGGACUGAGACACGGCCCAGACUCCUACGGGAGGCAGCAGUGGGGAAUUUUGGACAAUGGGGGCAACCCUGAUCCAGCCAUGCCGCGUGAGUGAAGAAGGCCUUCGGGUUGUAAAGCUCUUUCAGCCGGAACGAAACGGUCACGGCCAAUACUCGUGACUAAUGACGGUACCGGAAGAAGAAGCACCGGCUAACUACGUGCCAGCAGCCGCGGUAAUACGUAGGGUGCGAGCGUUAAUCGGAAUUACUGGGCGUAAAGCGUGCGCAGGCGGUUUUGUAAGUCAGAUGUGAAAUCCCCGGGCUUAACCUGGGAACUGCGUUUGAAACUACAAGGCUAGAGUGUAGCAGAGGGGGGUGGAAUUCCACGUGUAGCAGUGAAAUGCGUAGAGAUGUGGAGGAACACCGAUGGCGAAGGCAGCCCCCUGGGCUAACACUGACGCUCAGGCACGAAAGCGUGGGGAGCAAACAGGAUUAGAUACCCUGGUAGUCCACGCCCUAAACGAUGUCAACUAGUUGUCGGGUCUUAACGGACUUGGUAACGCAGCUAACGCGUGAAGUUGACCGCCUGGGGAGUACGGUCGCAAGAUUAAAACUCAAAGGAAUUGACGGGGACCCGCACAAGCGGUGGAUUAUGUGGAUUAAUUCGAUGCAACGCGAAAAACCUUACCUACCCUUGACUUGUACGGAAGCUUGCCGAGAGGUGAGUGUGCUCGAAAGAGAACCGUAACACAGGUGCUGCAUGGCUGUCGUCAGCUCGUGUCG
Molecule: ribosomal RNA, 1066 nt
Filed under: uncultured gold mine bacterium D14
Lineage: Bacteria
Description: bacterial SSU rRNA
Rfam family: Bacterial small subunit ribosomal RNA
Source: RNAcentral